UACAGAGGUCCCGAGCGUUGUUCGGAUUCACUAGGCGUAAAGGGUGCGUAGGUGGUGAGGUAAGUCGGAUGUGAAAUCUCGGAGCUCAACUCCGAAACUGCAUUGGAAACUACCUCGCUCGAGGGUUGGAGGGGGGACUGGAAUACUUGGUGUAGCAGUGAAAUGCGUAGAUAUCAAGUGGAACACCAGUGGCGAAGGCGAGUCCCUGGACAACUCCUGACACUGAGGCACGAAAGCUAGGGGAGCAAACAGG
This 253-nucleotide ribosomal RNA is filed under the name uncultured bacterium. RNAcentral describes it as "partial 16S ribosomal RNA". It matches the Rfam family "Bacterial small subunit ribosomal RNA", at positions 524 to 776 of the family's 1533-position model. The record is from RNAcentral.